RNAcentral lists this long non-coding RNA (554 nucleotides) under Mytilus galloprovincialis (Mediterranean mussel). Lineage: Eukaryota; Metazoa; Mollusca; Bivalvia; Mytilida; Mytilidae. The record is from RNAcentral.
AGGAGGAAUGCUGAAUUCAGGAGGAAUGCCGAAUUCAGAAGGAAUGCGAAAUUCAGAGCAUCUUCAACUAACAACUUCCAAAAUUUUAUUAUGGGCAAUAUUUUUACUUCUUGUUGUGGCUGUUAUAUUGCUUGCAAUUUGGGAAUUUUAUGGAAAAUGUCAAACAUUUAUCAAGAAAUGUCGCAAGAAAAAAUCUUAGCCUAACGCAAAACUGAUUUACAACACAGUUUAAGUUUGUUCGUUUGAAUAGACCUUUGCUCAUCUCUCAUACACAGAUAUAUCAUUGCAGAGAAAUGUACAUACAUUUUUAUAUCUUUAUGAGUUUCGGAAAUGUAAAUAUUCGUAUUGAAACAAAUGAUGUCAUUUUUUUUAUGUGGAUAUAAUUACAAAAUACAUUUGUAUGUAGACUUUCUAGACGUCCACAACUGAUACACAGAUUUUUAUUCAUAAAUCACACCUUGUACACAAUUUUCAUAUUCUAAAUGUUGGUUACAUUGUGAUAACCAUUAUCUUUUCAUUUGUGUGUAUGAUUUGUUGAAAUUGAUAUGAUAUCA